UGUCGAAAAAAAGGAGGAACUUGAAAACGUUUCGUCGUUAGACUGUGCCCGGUUUUUUGGAGAUCGGUUCACCAGUGUUGUUCUCAGAGACAUGCCCCGACAGGGAAGCGAAGGCGUCUUUGCUUCUUCCACACCAGAAAUCCGCCGAAUUGCAGGGUCGGGGAGACGCGUUCCUCUGUCGUUUCGACCGUCGCUGUUUUUCAAAGGCGUUGUCCGUCUUUGCCGCUCUCACCCUGUCGUCUGUGUGUGUGUCGUAUGCCCCGCGAGAAGACCUCGUUUUGACUCCGAACGCGAACGAGUUUAGAAAGUUGAGUUGUCGGACGCGUGCGUUUCCUUGCGCUCUUUUUGCUGUGUCGUGGAAAACAGAGGCCGCCGGGUGUCCAGCAUAAUAAAAGAGCGUCGUUGUGUGGGUCCCCCGUCCUGCCGUUUUUUUGAACAGCCUUGCCCGAGUGAUCCCUUGUGUUGCCGCGCGUCACUUCUGGAAGUUUCGCACCUGCCUGAAAACACACCAGUCGCGCGUCUCUCUUUCUCUUUCUCUCUCUUUCUUUCUCUCUUUCGCUUUCUGCCGACUGCUCUGCGCCGAGUCGGAGCGCGUCGCCGCUCCGUGAGCUCUCCCGUUUUUCCCUCAGGCUCCGUUCUUCUCUCAGUCUCGCCCACACUCUCGAGGUUUCUUUCUGUUU
RNAcentral lists this long non-coding RNA (680 nucleotides) under Toxoplasma gondii VEG. The record is from RNAcentral. Lineage: Eukaryota; Apicomplexa; Conoidasida; Eucoccidiorida; Sarcocystidae.